Molecule: long non-coding RNA, 444 nt
Filed under: Elaeis guineensis (African oil palm)
Lineage: Eukaryota; Viridiplantae; Streptophyta; Magnoliopsida; Arecales; Arecaceae
Description: long non-coding RNA (EGUI_LNC047494)
Source: RNAcentral
ACCAUGUGUUGUGUUUUGAGAGUAGCAAAGAAUAUGAUUUUAGUUGUAAAUUCAUUGAUGCUUAGUGGAAGAAAAUCCUUCAAAUAUUGAAAGAGUUCCUUUUGCACCUUUAAAGAUAUGUCUUCAGUGGAGCAACAAUUUUUUGAGAAAAAAAAAAGAAGGUGCAAAAGAGUCGUGCUUGGGCUAAUGAGUCCAAACUGAUAAAAGAGUCUAAGGUUAACCUAGUCUGGCAGAGAUCCUUGAUCUGAAUAGGCUAAGAAAGAGAAAUCAAUAAAGGAUUGCUGAUCAAGGUACUUAUAUGAUAACACCUUAUGAUUUCUCUAUCUGUGACACUACUACUUGGACAUUGGAUAUUGGAAGUCUAUGCAAAUUGUUGCAAUGACUUCAAGUUAGUAGAAAGUUUGAAAAUAACAGGAGGUUCCUGAACAUUAGAGAUGGAAGUUA